This is an RNA transcript of Mus musculus (house mouse), 9685 nucleotides long. It is a transcript of the gene named SNF2 histone linker PHD RING helicase, with no coding region annotated. The transcript is spliced from 30 exons. The record is from RefSeq and is marked validated. Lineage: Eukaryota; Metazoa; Chordata; Mammalia; Rodentia; Muridae.
UUUUUUUUCCUUAGCAGAUCGAAUUCUUUUGGUUUAGUGGAUUAAUUGUAUAUUUGUUUGGGUAUUAUAAUUGCUCAGCAUCGUGAAUUCCGUUUUAUGUAACUUUCUGCCUUUUUAUGAAAACCACAACUCACAUCAAGCCUACCGCUCUGGCAAAGAGCCCCGCCCUCUCUGGCAAGAGGUCCCGCCCCUUCUUUCGGGCCCCGCCCAUCCUGCAUUUGCUAAAGCCACGGGAGGCGGGGAAAAGAGAGAGGCACAACCACCGCGAGACUUAAACCGUCUUCUACCGGGACCUCAGGGACGGGACAUGCGCAGAGGUGCUUUUUGAAGCCAACACCGGAAAGAGGGGCGGAGCGUCCCGACUGGUCCUGCGCGUUCGCCUGGAGCGAGCGCUCCUGCUGGCCUCCUCAGCUGGCGCUGGCGGCUUCCGGCCUGGGUGCCAGGCUUCACCCAGCGUGCAGCGCGCAUGCGCAACUCCCGCAGGUGAGUGUGGCGACUGUGGGCCCGGGAUCUGCAGCCUGCGAGGAGGGCCGGGCCCGGCGACAGGUGCCUGCAGAGCGGCUGAGAAUUCACAUUUACUUAUCAAGAAAGUGGAAGCGUGAAAAUGAGCAGCCGAAGGAAACGUGCUCCCCCGAUGAAGGUCGAUGAAGAAAGGCAACAGCAGCUUCACUGGAACAUGCAUGAGGACCUGAGGAGUGAGCCGCUCACCAUGACGGUCGGGGAACAGGCCUGUUCAGAUGCAGACUCUUCUUCUGAUUGCAUCAUCAUCGAUGAAGGCCCUCCUGAGAGUGCACUUCACAGAGAUAAGAAGAGGCGUUCAGAGACUGUGAGCGUCUUAGAGGCCACCGAGGAAGAGACCCGUUUGUCUGUGACUUUGAAUGUUACAGUUUCUCCCUAUCGUGUGGAUAAUUCUUGGAAAGCAUUUCUGGGAGAUUUUGCUCUUCAGCUUCUCCCCAAAGAGAGUUUAGUUGAACAUUUUUCUGAAAGGACUUUUACAUUGAGUCCUUCAGAGUCAAGCAGUCAGUUCCUGAUCUAUGUUCAUUCAGAAUGUAAAAAUGUAGAGAAACAAGAAAAUGUUCUUGAAGGAUCAGCCGGUGUUUGUAGCAAGGGAAUCCGAGUGGAAUCCUCCUUCAGUAGUGACAUGUUACAGGAUUUGGCCUGGCUACAGAAGAGAAGAGGAAUAAAACUCUACCAGAGACCAGACGGCACUCACACAAUCAAGGUUGGAAUUUACAUUUUGGAAGCUGGCCUAACAAGACUAGACUUCAUGAGUGAUGCAGGUUCCAGAAUGAAAAAGUUCAAUCAGCUCAUGAAGAGAGUGAUGGAAAAGUUACAUAAUUUCAUUAUUCCAGAUGUGCUGGAAGAAGAGGAGGAGGGUUCAGAGAGCGAGCCCGAGGGUCAGGAUAUUGAUGAGCUCUAUCACUUUGUGAAGCAAACACACCAGCAAGAAACACGGUCAGUCCAAGUGGACGUCCAGCACCCUGCGUUGAUUCCGGUCCUGAGACCUUACCAGAGAGAGGCAGUCAACUGGAUGCUGCAGCAAGAGCAGUUCAGAAGCGCUCCUCCUGCUGAUAACUCCCUGCACUUCUUAUGGCGAGAAAUUGUUACACCUGAUGGCUUGAAACUCUACUAUAAUCCAUAUACAGGCUGCAUCAUUCGAGAUUUCCCACAUGCGGGUCCACAGUUGCUUGGUGGAAUCUUAGCAGAUGAGAUGGGUCUUGGAAAGACAGUGGAGGUUCUGGCUCUGAUUCUGACACAUACCCGACAAGACGUCAAGCAGGACGCUCUCACCCUUCCUGAGGGAAAAGUGGUAAAUUAUUUCAUCCCAACUCACUGUCCUAGAGAAAAAGUGAAAAAUAGAGAAAUCCAGGAUACAGAAUAUGAACCAAAAGAGAAAGUUCACUGCCCUCCUACACGUGUGAUGAUCCUGACAGCUGUGAAAGAAAUGAAUGGGAAGAAAGGAGUUUCUAUUCUUUCUAUCUAUAAGUAUGUCAGCUCCAUAUUCAGAUAUGAUGUUCAGCGGAACCGGGGUCUUCUGAAGCGGAUGUUGAAAUGUUUAAUCUUUGAAGGUCUUGUGAAACAGAUCAAAGGCCAUGGUUUCUCUGGGACUUUUACACUGGGGAAGAAUUACAAAGAAGAUGUAUUUGAUAAAACAAAAAAGCAGGCAGUAGGGAGUCCAAGGAAAAUUGAGAAGGAAUUGAGGAAAUCAGUGAACAAGGAUGCAGAUUCUGAGUACCUGCCAUCAAACACUUCUGAUGACGAUGAGCCUUACUAUUAUUACUGUAAGGCGGGAAAAAGCCGGAGUAAGUUGAAGAAGCCUGCUUUACUAACUAAAAAGGGAAAGGGUCAGUCUGUUCAUCUGGAUUCCCAAGGUGAUGCUCCAGCUGCUGGAGUCUGUGCAAGUACUGAUGUUCAUGUGUCAGAAAAUACAUGUGUCUCUGAAGACAAGCAAACCCAAGAAGCAAAAGACUGUGCUGAGUCGCCAAACCCUGCUGCCGAGGAGUUGGCACAGUCUAACACUUCAAGUCCUUGUGAAACCUCUGAUUACCGCUUUGAGUGUAUAUGUGGUGAAUUUGAUCAAAUUGGCCACAAGCCAAGAGUUCAAUGUCUGAAGUGUCACCUGUGGCAGCAUGCAAAGUGUGUGAAUUAUGAGGAGAAAAACCUGAAGGUUAAGCCUUUUUACUGCCCCCACUGUCUUGUUGCGAUGGAGCCAGUAUCAACAAGAGCAACUCUGAUCAUCUCUCCGAGCUCCAUUUGCCACCAGUGGGUGGAUGAAAUCAAUCGGCACGUGAGGUCAUCAUCUCUCCGAGUUCUGGUAUAUCAAGGAGUGAAGAAACACGGCUUCUUACAGCCUCAUUUUUUGGCAGAACAAGAUAUAGUUAUCAUUACCUAUGAUGUUCUUCGUUCAGAACUAAACUAUGUCAAUAUCCCACAUAGCAAUAGUGAAGAUGGGCGUCGCCUGAGGAACCAGAAGCGCUAUAUGGCCAUUCCCAGCCCCUUGGUAGCGGUGGAAUGGUGGAGGAUCUGCCUUGAUGAAGCUCAGAUGGUCGAGUGUCCUACAGUAAAAGCCGCGGAAAUGGCCCAGCGUUUGAGCGGGAUUAAUCGGUGGUGCAUCAGUGGCACUCCAGUUCAGAGAGGAUUGGAAGAUCUUUUUGGGCUGGUGGUCUUUCUUGGAAUUGAACCUUAUUGUGUCAAACACUGGUGGAUUCGGCUUCUCUAUCAUCCAUACUGCAAGAAAAAUCCUCAGCACCUGUACAGUUUUAUUGCCAAGAUAAUGUGGAGGUCUGCAAAGAAAGAUGUCAUUGACCAAAUCCAGAUUCCACCUCAGACUGAAGAAAUGCACUGGCUCCAUUUUUCCCCGGUGGAGAGGCAUUUCUAUCACCGCCAGCACGAGGUGUGCUGCCAGGAUGCCAUAGUGAAGCUCAGGAAGAUCUCUGACUGGGCCCUGAAGCUCAGCAGCUUGGACAGGAGAACUGUCUCCUCCAUCCUCUACCCACUGCUGAGGCUCCGGCAGGCCUGCUGCCAUCCACAGGCUGUUCGUGGGGAAUUCUUGCCACUCCAGAAGAGCACCAUGACAAUGGAAGAGUUGCUGACAUCUCUGCAGAAGAAAUGUGGAACGGAAUGUGAAGAGGCCCACCGACAACUAGUUUGUGCCCUUAACGGCUUAGCAGGCAUUCACAUCAUUAAAGGUGAAUAUGCCUUGGCAGCGGAGCUCUACAGAGAAGUAUUACGUUCAUCUGAGGAGCACAAAGGAAAACUCAAAACUGAUUCCCUUCAAAGACUGCAUGCCACACAUAACUUAAUGGAGCUGUUGGGAGCCAAACACCCAGGAAUACCUCCCACCUUGAGAGAUGGCAGACUUGAAGAAGAGGCCAAGCAGCUGCGAGAGCACUAUAUGAGUAAGUGUAACACAGAAGUUGCCGAAGCCCAGCAAGCUUUGCAGCCUGUGCAGCAGUCCAUUAGGGAGCUCCAAAGGAAGAUUCAUUCUAAUUCUCCUUGGUGGCUGAAUGUAAUCCAUAGAGCAAUGGAAUUUUCUGUUGAUGAGGAACUUGUUCAGCGGGUGCGAAAUGAAAUAAGCAGUAACUACAAGCAACAAACUGACAAGCUGUCUAUGUCAGAGAAGUUCCGUGACUGCAGAGGUCUUCAGUUCUUACUUACAACACAAAUGGAAGAGCUCCAUAAGUUCCAGAAGCUGGUGAGGGAGGCUGUGAAGAAGCUGGAGAAGCCUCCAUCCCGGGAGGUGAUUGAGUCUGCAACAGUUUGCCACCUGCGGCCAGCUAGACUCCCUCUCAACUGCUGCGUCUUUUGUAAAGCUGAUGAAUUGUUCACAGAGUAUGAAUCAAAGCUAUUUUUUAACACAGUCAAAGGCCAGACUGCAAUCUUUGAAGAAAUGAUAGAAGAUGAAGAAGGACUUGUAGAUGAUAGAGUACCUACCACUACCAGAGGUCUGUGGGCCGUAAGUGAGACGGAGCGAUCUAUGAAAGCAAUAUUAUCAUUUGCAAGAUCACAUAGGUUUGAUGUUGAAUAUGUAGAUGAAGGAAGUGUUUCAAUGGAUCUCUUUGAGGCAUGGAAGAAGGAAUAUAAGUUACUUCAUGAAUACUGGAUGACUCUGAGAAAUCGUGUAUCUGCUGUUGAUGAACUUGCAAUGGCUACAGAGCGACUAAGAGUGCGCCAUCCCAAAGAGCCAAAGCCAAACCCACCCGUCCAUCACAUCAUUGAACCACACGAGGUUGAACAGAAUCGUAUAAAACUGGUGAAUGAUAAAGCUGUUGCUACAUCACAGCUUCAGAAGAAACUUGGACAGCUUCUUUACCUAACGAAUUUGGAGAAGUCUCAAGAUAAAACAUCAGGAGGUAUUAAUCCAGAGCCUUGUCCAAUCUGUGCUCGACAGCUGGGAAAACAGUGGGCAGUGCUGACCUGCGGACACUGCUUCUGUAAUGAAUGCACUUCGAUUAUAAUUGAACAGUACAGUGUGGGGUCUCAUCGAAGUUCCAUCAAGUGUGCUAUCUGCCGCCAGACCACAUCACACAAAGAAGUCUCCUAUGUCUUCACCUCAGAGAAGGCAAACCAAGAGGAUGAUAUCCCUGUGAAGGUAUGGGUAGCCAUUCUACAAAAGUGGAAGCUGUGGUCAGAACUCUGAUGAAAAUACAACUUAGAGAUCCAGGGGCCAAAGCGCUCGUUUUCUCAACGUGGCAAGAUGUAUUAGAUAUUAUUUCAAAAGCUCUCACGGACAACAACAUGGAAUUUACACAAAUCAGUCGCAUUAAGACAUUCCAGGAGAACCUCUCAGCGUUUAAAUACGAUCCCCACAUCAAUAUUCUGCUGCUGCCCCUGCACACAGGCUCUAAUGGAUUAACUAUCAUUGAAGCCACCCAUGUCCUCCUGGUGGAGCCCAUACUGAACCCUGCCCAUGAGCUGCAGGCCAUUGGGAGAGUGCACCGAAUUGGACAGACCAAACCUACUAUUGUACAUAGAUUCUUAAUUAAAGCAACAAUAGAAGAACGGAUGCAGGCAAUGCUAAAAACUGCUGAGAGGAGCCACACAAGCUCAUCCGGAAAGCAUUCUGAAGCCUCUGUGUUGACUGUGGCUGGCCUGGCUGACCUGUUUACCAAGGAGAACGAGGAGCUUGAAUGAAGCCGUCACAUCAUUCCACACAAUGUUAAGAUAGAACUUCACUUCCAGAGAUGUCAAGAGAGUUACAAAUUAAAAACAAAAAAUCAGUAAAUAUUAGUAAAUACUAUUUUAAGUUGAAUGAAUUUAUUUUGUUAUACUCUAGCCUAGUAAUAAUUGGCAAUUGGUUCCUUUUCACUAUACCGAUUUCACACCAUUUACAAUGAAUUUUAACUUUACACUCCUAAUAGAACAUUAAUUUUUUUGUUCCACUUGUAUAUCUAUUACUAAUAAGGCAGGGGAAUUAAGAAAAGGGGUAUUAAAUAAUUUUUCCAUUAGUAGAUAGAUGUUUGUUAUAACAGGAGAGAAUAUAUAAGAAGGUUACUUAGUCUAGUUUUGUAUGACCUGAUGUGUACAGCCAGUGUAAAUAACAUUUUUGAAAGGGCCUUCAGCAUCUUUAGCAUAGGAUUCACCAUUAUAUUCUCAGUAAUGUUUUAAGAAAAUGCUAAACUAUAUAAUAAGUAGUUAUUUGCAUGAGUUUAAACUGUAACACUGUCAUUAGCUCCUAAUAAUAAAUCACUAGGUGGUUAUAUUGUGUUUUGUUACUAAAUGUUAAAAUACUGAAAAAUUCAUUUUUCUAUUAUGUUUAAGUGGUAUCAUUGUUAAUAUUUUUAAGUGGAUUAACAUUUACCUACAAUGAUCUCUUUAACCUUUUUAGUAAGUUUUUUUUGUGUAUGUGUUUUAAGAUGAUGUAUCUGUAAAUAUGGCUUUUUAAAAAUCAUCAUUGUACUGAAUUCAUUUCUUGUGUUCCUGUAACUAGUCAUUUUAGCCACUAGUUAUCUAAACCUACAAUAGAGUUUAUUCAUUUCAGUUACUCUGUUCUUAGAAACUAACUAGUGUUUGAUCUACUACAAGAGAACGCUGUGUUCACACAUGCAUAAACUGUAAGUGGUUAAACUCUCUCUUCUGUGAAGAAUUCAUGGAUGACUUUGAAAUUACAAAAUAAGAAGUAGCUUGUUGUAUCCUAGCCUUGUGUUGGAAUAUAAAUGUUCUUGUUUCCUUCCCUUUAGCUGUUGAAAUCAAGGGACCCUCAAGGUUCAUUAGCUCCUACCUAACUGUCCAUAAAACUGUACUAGAAGUAGUUCCUGGGUCUCCUUUAUCCCGUGAGCUCUGGUGCUUAAGCUAAGGUGCAUUUUCUUAUCCAGGUUUAUAGGUGACAGGUCAGCUGAAGAAGACACGUUUUUUGGGUGCUUAUUCUUUAGUUGAAGGGAGAUAUACAUUGAUUCUUUUAUAUGAAAUUAAACAUAAUAUUUUUACAGCUCUUUUACAUUCACUAAGAGCUUUUCUGUGUAUUCAUGUGGUUAAUAUUCACAACAGUCCUGUGAAAUGGAUAUGAUUAAUGAUAUUCCUAUUUUGAAGGUAAAGAUCUAAUGCUCAGGAGGAAACUCGCCUAUGAUAUGUAGCAAACAGACAGAGCAGUCCAGGCCCCCUGGCUUCAUGUCUACUGUUCUUCCACCGAGUUGUGUGCCAUGCUGGGGUUCAGAAGCCUUGUGGGUAUGACUUAGAAUGGGAUUGUGUAAGUACUUAUUUUUGUUUCCUAAUAUUUCAUGUGCUAUGUUCUAGGAAAAACAAUUUGAUAUGCUUCAAUUAGAAAAUAACAUAGAUAUCUAUACUGAUCAGUAUUAGAGGAAAACUAUUCUUAUUUAUUUCAGUAAGAUACCUCAAUUAAAUAAAUAUUUUAGUGGAAAAUGAAAUUAUGGAUUGUUUUAUUUCUAAGGUUUAGAUCAUAUGAACUUUGGUUUUUAUUGACUCAACAGAUAGUAUCAAAUUGCCAAUUCUACACUAUUCCAUAUUUUAUUUACAUUUGUCAUGUCUUCUAAACAAUUAUGAUAAUACUACUACUUCAGAACUAAUGAGUCCACAUAUAUAAUAAAUACCCACAUCUUGGCUGCAAACAAAAGAAAUUUUAGAUUCCUUUCUCAAUAAUUUUAUAUUCUCUGAAAUAUCACAGUAUGGCACUGUGCUAGCAAACCACUGAGGAUGAGUGAAAUGCCCAGUCCUUACAGUUUAAAUGUAUUUCUAUUUAGGGAAUUGUUUUUCAAGUAACUCCAGAUGAAUUUACUAGGACUGAAGAUUUAUCUAUGUAAAUUGUAAACAUCCCACAAACUGGGCUUAAAAUCCAAGUAACUUUACUGUGUCUAUUGCAUCAAUAUUUCUCUUUCUAUAUGAUCUUAAGGUAGGUAAAGGACCAUUUUUAGAAAUUGGUCCUUUUGGAAAGUAUAACUCAGUCUUUUUAAAUGCUUAGUAUGUAUAAAUCUCUGGAUUUCAGACCCCUCAAUCCCUUUCACAUCUUUAAUAACAUUAAUAAUCUCAACAUAGAACCAGUGCUCAACAAGCAGUACAUAACAAAAGCAACUACUUAUAAAUAUCUAGCAGGUUGUGACUAAUCAUCAGCUGAAAACCUCUUCCAAGGGACAAAAGCAAAAAUGUCUUUCCAUCUCUUCUCUCAUUUACUAACCCUUCCCAAAAUCAGUAUGAUUGAAUUGUCUAUUCAUUAAACUUGGAGAUACCUUAUUAGAAAUGCAGAAACUACACUUCUACUUAAAAGGACUCUCUAAGACAUACUUGGUGUUUGUAGCAUUAAUUAAUCAGAAUUCCAAGCAUAAUAUGCCAUUUUACAUAUGCAGUCACUUUGCUGUGUCCAGGUAGUUUCCUCCUAGUUGUCCAUUGCUUCUGGCUCUUAGAGUCUUCAUCCUGGAUCCCUUAACCUUGGGGUGGAGGUGUGUGACAGGUGUCCUGUUUGAUGAUGAGUGUUCUGCAGUCUGUUAUUAUCUACACCUGAACCGGUGGUGAGUCUUUGUGUUAAUCAUCUACUGAAUAAGUUUCUCUGAUGAGGAUUCAGAUGCAUUAAUUAGUGAGUAUAAGAGUCAGUUUAGCCAGACCAUGGUGGCGCACGCCUUUAAUCCCAGCACUCGGGAGGCAGAGGCAGGUGAAUUUCUGAGUUCGAGGCCAGCCUGGUCUACAAAGUGAGUUCCAGGACAGCCAGGGCUACACAGAGAAACCCUGUCUCGGAAAAACAAAAAACAAACAACAAAAUGAGUUUAAUAUCCAUUUAGUAGAAACAUUGUAGCAGGUUCUUUCCUAGGUUCUAUGAGACACCACAGACUACGAAAGCCCUGCAACAGGAACUAGUUGCCUCUUUUGCAGUUUUUGGCUAUAGAGAUCCUACACAUCCUUACGUUACAGGUUAUUGCCAGUGCUCCUGUUUAUGCUAUAGAAUUUGACUGUAAGAACCUAUUGCUGAAGACACUGCAUACCUGAGUCAUACAACAUGGAACUGCCACUGACCUAGAAGCCUCUUCCUUGUUAGGGUCAUGGAAGGUGCGGUGCGUGCUACCUAGCAAGGAAAGGAGUUUUCUGUGUCCCGGCUGUGAACCAUAUGCUUCUCAACCUUUUUCAUUUCUUUUCACUUAAUUAAAGUCUAUAUUAUUUCCCCCUCCCUCACCUCUGUCCUACCCAUCCGUGUUCAAGUCUGCUCCCAAAUUCACAGCCUUCUCUUUAAACAUUGUUGAUACAUAUAAGUGAAUAACAUAAAUAUGCCUGCUGAGUUCUGUCCAGUGUUGCUUGUCUUCGUGUAAAUAUUUCUAGGGCUGGUUAUCCAAUAUCCAGUACUGCUUUGGUAUUGGAUAACCAUUUGGGGGCUCAUCUCUUAGGAAGACCAAUUUUUCUCAUCAAUUGUUUGUAGCUCUUCAUUGAGGAGUGGAGCCCUGUGAGAUUUCCCCUAUUUAUGUUGGGAUGUCAAUUGUGAUUGGAAUUAUUCAGGUUUCGUUUUCUGUUUUAAUCUUACAGUUGCUCUCUCAGAUCAAAGUUGUAUGGGAAAAAUAUAGACAAAUCAUGCUGAGUAUCAUAUUUCUGUCCUGUAUUAUUAAAUAAGUUCAUUUCUAGAAGUGCUUAACCUAAUUUAUUCCUAAUUAUGGAUGAUUUUUUUUCCAAAUAGUGUUUAUGGUAGUCUUCCCAGGAUGAUUCUUUUAAGAUAAUGGAUCCAACAAUAAAUAUUAUAUUUUGAGAAACUCAA